This 576-nucleotide ribosomal RNA is filed under the name Hepatozoon sp. RNAcentral describes it as "bacterial SSU rRNA". It matches the Rfam family "Eukaryotic small subunit ribosomal RNA", at positions 362 to 928 of the family's 1831-position model. Lineage: Eukaryota; Apicomplexa; Hepatozoidae. The record is from RNAcentral.
ACGGGGGAUUAGGGUUCGAUUCCGGAGAGGGAGCCUGAGAAACGGCUACCACGUCUAAGGAAGGCAGCAGGCGCGCAAAUUACCCAAUUCUAACAGCAUAAGAGAGGUAGUGACAAGAAAUAACAGUACAAGGCAGUUAAAAUGCUUUGUAAUUGGAAUGAUAGAAAUUUAAACACUUUUUAAAGUAUCAAUUGGAGGGCAAGUCUGGUGCCAGCAGCCGCGGUAAUUCUAGCUCCAAUAGCGUAUAUUAAAACUGUUGCAGUUAAAAAGCUCGUAGUUGAAUUUUUGCUAGAAAUAACCGGUCUGCUUUUAUUAAUAAAAGUGGUAUCUUGGUGUGUUUUUAGCAAUAAUGUCCUUUGAAAUGCUUUUUACUUUUAUGUAAGAAGCAAUAUUCAGGAUUUUUACUUUGAGAAAAUUAGAGUGUUUCAAGCAGGCUAACGUUUUGAAUACUGCAGCAUGGAAUAAUAAAAUAGGAUUUUGGUUCUACAUUAUUGGUUUUAAGAACUAAUUUUAUGAUUGAUAGGGACAGUUGGGGGCAUUUGUAUUUAACUGUCAGAGGUGAAAUUCUUAGAUUUG